GACGAACGCUGGCGGCGUGCUUAACACAUGCAAGUCGAACGGAAAGGCCCUGCUUUUGUGGGGUGCUCGAGUGGCGAACGGGUGCGUAACACGUGAGUAACCUGCCCUUGACUUUGGGAUAACUUCAGGAAACUGGGGCUAAUACCGGAUAGGAGCUCCUGCUGCAUGGUGGGGGUUGGAAAGUUUCGGCGGUUGGGGAUGGACUCGCGGCUUAUCAGCUUGUUGGUGGGGUAGUGGCUUACCAAGGCUUUGACGGGUAGCCGGCCUGAGAGGGUGACCGGCCACAUUGGGACUGAGGUACGGCCCAGACGCCUACGGGAGGCAGCAGUGGGAAAUAUUGCGCAAUGGGCGGAAGCCUGAUGCAGCAACGCCGCGUGCGGGAUAACGGCCUUCGGGUUGUAAACCGCUUUCGCCUGUGACGAAGCGUGAGUGACGGUAAUGGGUAAAGAAGCACCGGCUAACUACGUG
RNAcentral lists this ribosomal RNA (468 nucleotides) under uncultured bacterium. RNAcentral describes it as "partial 16S ribosomal RNA". It matches the Rfam family "Bacterial small subunit ribosomal RNA", at positions 28 to 507 of the family's 1533-position model. The record is from RNAcentral.